This is a long non-coding RNA of Hyaena hyaena (striped hyena), 976 nucleotides long. RefSeq lists it as uncharacterized. Lineage: Eukaryota; Metazoa; Chordata; Mammalia; Carnivora; Hyaenidae. The record is from RefSeq and is a predicted model, not a curated record. The transcript is spliced from 3 exons.
UAAAGCUCAACUGGGUUUGGAGCAUUUGCUUCCAAUGGACCUCAUUUCCAUGGCUGCCAAGUGGAGUGGGUUCCUCUUCACAGUUAUCCUCGAAGUCUUCACAACAUAGCAGCUGAUGUUCCCCAGGGUCAGUGCUACCCUUGAGACCCAGGGGAAGAGCUGCAAUGCCUUUUAUGACCUAGCCUCAGAUGUCACACAAGGUUACUUCUACAAUGUUCUAUCACACACAAAAACUAAUCCUGAUUCACAGAAGAGGACUAUACAUGGGAAUGAAUUCCAGGAGACCCCCAACACCUUGCACUGAAAGUUCCUCCUGAGGCAAAUGCAACUGUAUCCCGACAACAGAUCAAAUGAAUCAAACCAGAUGGCAGAUGCCUCCAGGCCGACCAGCACGGAAUGCCUCACUCGGCACUUUUGCUUCAACUUCCAUUUGGGUGUGGACAGGCACUGGAAAAGGCCAGAGUUGGAAGAGAGAGAAGUGUGGGGCUCUCCCCCUGGGCUACGUCUCCGUUGGGCAGCUCCAGUUUCACAGACGUUUGACCUGUACAGCCGCCCGGGGCCCUGUGCUUGGAAGGGCGCCAUGCUUGCUUUAAUGCUCUGCUGGCCUCAUCCUGGAGUUCUUAGUAGUUUUUGAACAAGUGGCCCUUUUUUUUUUUCAUUUUGUGCUGGGCCCUGCAAAUUAUAUCACCAGUUCUGCUUUCAGGCUUCACGCCGAGGUGGCAAUGUCCCUCUACCAAACGCACAGCUCUUGUCUGCACCCUCUUUCCUACAGCAGCUGCUGGGUUCCAGCACCUGGUUAUUCUCUCGCCUCAGCGGUACUACAAGUGAUGGGAGGUUCCUGCAGUUGCUGCCCUGGGUGCUUCGCCAGCCCCGCUCGUCUUCUUUGGCCCUGCCUACCUUUCCUAUAGGCCCUUUGUGAACUCACACCAGCCCUUCCAAGAGUGCUGUUUCCUCUCAGGACCCGCACUAAUAAACA